UCAGCUCAGAACUGGUACGG
Molecule: small nuclear RNA, 20 nt
Filed under: Arabidopsis thaliana (thale cress)
Lineage: Eukaryota; Viridiplantae; Streptophyta; Magnoliopsida; Brassicales; Brassicaceae
Description: snRNA_05429
Source: RNAcentral